RNAcentral lists this ribosomal RNA (468 nucleotides) under uncultured bacterium. RNAcentral's name for it is "partial 16S ribosomal RNA". It matches the Rfam family "Bacterial small subunit ribosomal RNA", at positions 28 to 507 of the family's 1533-position model. The record is from RNAcentral.
GACGAACGCUGGCGGCGUGCUUAACACAUGCAAGUCGAACGGAAAGGCCCUGCUCUUGUGGGGUGCUCGAGUGGCGAACGGGUGAGUAACACGUGAGUAACCUGCCCUUGACUUUGGGAUAACUUCAGGAAACUGGGGCUAAUACCGGAUAGGAGCUCCUGCUGCAUGGUGGGGGAUGGAAAGAUUCGGCGGUUGGGGAUGGACUCGCGGCUUAUCCGCUUGUUGGGGGGGUAGUGGCUUACCAAGGGUAUGACGGGUAGCCGGCCUGAGAGGGUGACCGGCCACAUGGGGACUGCGAUACGGACCAGAAGCGUACGUGAGGCAGCAGUGGGGAAUAUUGCGCAGUGGGCGGGAGCCUGUGGUAGCGACGCCGCGAGCGUGAUGCCGUCCUUCGAGUGAUGAACCGCUUUCGCCUGUGACGAAGCGUGAGUGACGGUAAUGGGUAAAGAAGCACCGGCUAACUACGUG